Cygnus atratus (black swan) is the source of this 1073-nucleotide long non-coding RNA. RefSeq lists it as uncharacterized. The transcript is spliced from 2 exons. The record is from RefSeq and is a predicted model, not a curated record. NCBI's taxonomy places the organism in Eukaryota, Metazoa, Chordata, Aves, Anseriformes, Anatidae.
GAUUCCAGAUAACUCCUUGUAUCCCUCCAGUGUCCUACGGCACUUUCUGCAUUCCUAGGACAGUGCACUGUGUCGUUCAGGAAGCAGUGUCAGAAGCUCACUUUUGUGCUAAUUUUUAUAUGCACAAAAUUGCAGGCUUAUGGUGUGAGCUAAACUGAUUUCAUCCUGAAGCUAUGAAGCUCUUAAUACCAAUUGUAUCCAUGUCAGAUGGAUCAGUGUUGGUUUGGGUUUUUUGUUUGUUUUUUGAAAAAUAGCAAAAAUUUUUAUCAGUUAAACGGAGAUGACUAACAGUAGCAUUUUGUACAAAUGUAUUUCAUUUAAGUAAAGAGUCCCUUGUCACUGGAAAUGAAUGAAUACAUUUUAUUAUGGCAUUUAACUUAAAACAUAAUUGUCUGAAUCUUAAUUUUUAGGAUUCCCAGUUUAAGAAUCCUUUGUUUUCAUUACUUGUCUGCUUUGAGAACAGACAUAAAAGGAAAAUGAUGAAAGAAAUCUAAAGUCCCGAGUCUCUUCUUGUUUGGGUAUAUUUCAACAGAUGAAUAUUUAGCAAUACUGCAAACCUCAGUGGGACUAAUUUAUUUAUUUUUUCCCUUUCUGGUGACAUUUAAAGAAAUGCUUUACGUAAAGAGAAAAUAUGUUCUUAAUAUGUAUAUUUAAACCUAAAUUUGCUUUUUUGAUUUUUAAAGAUAUAUUUGAUAUUAGAAAAGUUGUAACCGUCUGCUUUGGUAAUUAACACAGUAGUUGAGGAGCUUGACAGUUUGAGGAAUUUCCAUGCUGAUGACAUCCUGUUUUUAUGUUCCUGGAGGAGAAGGUUUGAUUCACAUUCAAGAGGAAUGAAGUUGAUGUAGAAAUCUCACUUGAAGAUAUGGGAAGACUUCAGCUGCUUUUGUAGCUCCAUUUGAAUACAGAAGUCAAAAAAAAACUCUACUGCAAAAGUAUUUAGAUUCCUUAGGGCUUUUCUCUUCUUUUUUUUUUCCUGAAUAAAAUUUCAUAUUUCAUGAUGAAGAAUCAUGACCUGUAUUCAGUGCUCCUUCAGACAAAUAGAAAACCUUCUCUGCUGCUCAAUUUCAACAGUA